GGGGGAGAGGUGGAGAGGAUGGGGUACUGAAAGUGAGAAUAAGCUUCAUGUGCAGAGACCUAGGAAACUCAAAAUUCCAGUGCUAACACUGGAAGCCUUUGGAGAGGAGGAGGUGAAAUUGUAAUGUUAGUAGUUUAUAUAAUGAUGUGAGUUUGGAAAGUGAAAAGUUUGGGAAGGACGCAGGCUGAGGAAGGCAAAGAUGAGCAAGGUAUAGCAGGGAUGUCAGAACCAAAGAGAGGUGAGCAAUAUGGAGGGGGAAAAAAAAAACUGAUUGAGAAACAGAGAUAGUUGGGAAUAGCAACAGCUGUUACUGUUGCGGUGCUAGAGUAGAGCCUUAGGACUCAGAGGUCCCCUCAGAAAUGGAGGAGGAGAAGGGCCCUGGAAGAGCCCAGGGAGGGUUCCACCCCCACUGGACUGAAAGCAGGGUGCAGGGAAAUGGGACAUCAGUGGAGAAACCCUACCAAGCUGACUGAUGUACCUGGGAAGUUUACCCUAGCAGAUCCAUUGGUUAAAUUGCAGCUAGGAGAGCAGGAUAAAGAGGUUUAUUUUCUAGUGUGUACAGGUGCCUCUUACCACCCGUAGAUGAUUUUGCAACAGCAGUAGUAGGAACUACUGCCCAACAAGAAAGAGUUUACCUUUUUGGGAUCAAUUAAAUAUAGGCUGAGAAAACAAGUAGGAAUACAUAAAUUCUUGUACAUGCCAGAUUCUCCAAAACCAUUACUCUGGCAAGACUUAUUAGAAUAAGUGGAUGCAGAGAUUAAAUUCAAUAAAACUGGAGCUAAGGGUCAAACAAUACUAACUGAUUGAAAAUUGUAAGUCUGGCUUUAACACAAACUGGGAAAAACAAUGUUGUACCCCCAGAAGUUGCAGAAAUCUUAGAUAAGGUAUGCUUAGGAGUGUGGGUACCAGGAAUACCUAGCAGAGCCAAAAUGUAGCCCUAGGUUAAAAGCAAGAGCUAGAGCUAGCCCAGUCAGAGUAAAGCAGUAUAUGCAACUGUAGAAGGAUAAAAGAAAUAAUAGAUAAUGUUUGGAUUUUGGAUUACUAAUUGAAUGUGAAUCCAAAUACAAUACUCCAAUCUUGCCAAUGAAAAUUGGAUAGCAAGUGCUAUAGUUUGGUACAAGUUUUGAGGGCAAGUAAUAGAAUUGUUAAAUGCAUACACUCCAUGGUGGCAAAUUCAUACACUUUAUUAACCAAGUUAGGAAAUAAGUAGGUGGAGUUUACCUUCUGAAUUUGAAGUAUGCCUUUUCUGCCAGGUUUGGCCAAAAGAAGCCUAAGGUUAUUUGCCUUUGAAUAGGAGACCCCUAAUAUGAGAUGAAAAAGACUCAGUUAACCUGGACAGUGUUACCCAGGGUUGUGAGAACGGCCCAAUGAAUUUUGAGAACUGGUAAACUCAUGAGCCUUAGAUUUGGGUUCCUCCAUCCCAUGGUGGAACUUUACUGCAGUAUGUGGAUGCCACGGAAGCAAAAGAGGACUGUGUGCAAUGAAUCUCUUGUUUUAAAUAACUAUCAAGUUUCUCAACAGAAGGCAUAAAUAACUCAACAGCAAGUGACCCUAUUUGGGAUAAGAGAUUACAGCUGGACUUGGAAAGGACUGCCAGGAAGGAAACAAUCUGCCAGACUCCAGAACCUCAAACAGCUGAGGAGCUCCAGACUUUCCUGGGGAUGACAAGAUGGUGCUGCCUACAACUAUAGAAUACUGGUAAAAUCCCUCCAUGCCCUUUUGAAAUCCUGUCCAAAGGUCAUCAUACAGGUUGAGGAAGACAAAUAACAAGGUUUACCUGUGGCAAUUAGACACAGACUCCAUUGUUAGUGUAGAACAAGAACUUUUAUUGUGUGUGAUGAACAAUAUGCACUUGGUCAAGUGCCUUAUUAAAUGUGACCCUCUUGCCAAUGCGUGUGGCAGUGCUGGCUCUUCCAUCCUGCCCUGAAGUAGAUAGCGCUGGAGCUGGGCUUGUCCCUCUUGUGCCAUCCCUCAGCACUACAUUACUGCAAGUGUUGGACUGAGGCACCGGCUCUGUCAGCCUCAUCUCAAGUCCACUGUACCUCAUCAGCGUCUCUCUGUAGUGGGUGAUGAGGUUGUAGAGGCUAUCAAAUACCAGGUUGUCAGUUAAGAACCUGUGGAUGUUGGUGUCCUGCCGCCAAUGGAUGCGGAAAUGCUGCACUUUUUCAUCACACCAGAUGGACAGAACAUAGUCUCCGACAAAUGUCUCACUCUCCCUCACCAGGAAGGAGCCAUCAGGUGCCCCCAUCUCAAUGCAGUACUCUGUUAGCAGCCGCUCAGUAAUGUGCCGCCCACUGCACCCUGCUCCCAGCUUGCCGUGGAACCAGUCCUGCACGAGAUGCAGCUCAAUGUUGGCGCUCACCUCCUUUUGCGCAGGUCAUCCCCCCCGUCUGUUCCUGGUUGGGACAACGUAAACCGGGUUCCAUACAUAGUUGAUGGAAUCUGCCACCAUUUGGCAAUCCGCCUUCUGCUCCUUUGUCACACACGAACCCAUGGUUCCUUGCUCCUAACCGCUGUGAAGCCACCUCAGGUUCCGCAGGGCUUGCCAGUGGUCUUUAUAGCGUUUGCUCACACCUAUGCCAGGUGUACAAGCUAGACAACUCGUGAUCAUGUAGAGAGGGUCUGUCUGGUACAAAUAGUUACAAUCUUUCGGUUUUCUCUGCUGAACUUGUUUACAACUGCUAAGGUCUUUUGCUAGACAGAGCAAGGAUGGCUUUAUUUUCUCCUGAUAAUAUACAAAUUAAAGGAAUUGAAGUAACGGACUGGACAAAUUAACUGAGGCUUGGAAAGUAUGUAGAAACAGGGAUUGUAAAGAAAGAAAGAAAUUGGGAAGAACAGUGGCAGUUGCACUAGAGCAGGAGGAUGUAGAAACUCUAAUGUAGCAUACUGCCUGAAAUACUCUGAAGAAUGUAUAGAUGGAUAGAAUGUAUCAUCUAUCCAUUUCCAAUUGCUUUUUCAGAAUAAAAGAAGGCUAGUUACUAGUGAUUUAGUUUUUUGAGAUAUGUUGUCUACAUAUUUUUUUGUUUUCUGCCCCCCUUGCCUUGUUCUUUAUUAUUUCUGCUUGGAUUGCACACUGAGAAGAGCUAAGGGCAAGGAAUUUCUCUCUUGGACUAUAUCAGUAUAGAUAAUGGGGACAGAGACUCAAUCAACAGCCAUAAUUAUUACUAUAAGGAGGGGAAAAAAACAACAACAACAACAAAACCCCUCUCAAAUCUGUGUUCUUAUUAUUCACAAUCACAUACAAAAAAGCCCCAGACAGACUAUGUGUUAUAAUGGUGAUUGCUGAUAAAUAGUUUUGCUUUUGUCUCUGGGCAUUUUUUUUGUGGGUGAUUUUGUUUGUGUGUGUGUGUGUGUGUGUGUGUGUGUGUGAUUCGCUACGUGCAGGACUGCUUAGAUAUUCUCAUGUUUAAUUAAAUGCAUAGAUUACUUUCCUACAAGAAGGACAAGCUAUGCAAACUAUUUCAGGGUUUCCAUGUCACUACAGCCUUUUCAGCUUUGCCCAACAUUGUUGAAAAUUUCACAGAUGUUGCAUUCUUGGUGAGAAAGCUGUGCUCCACCAGAUCUUCCUAGCUUAAUUAGUUAGCAUUGCUUCAGGAUGAAGGAUGGCACAGUUUAAACAAGCUCCCCAUCACAAUUCACCUGCAAGGUGCUCAUGCCCUACCCUGGGGAUUUGUAAUAGACAGGUAAGUUAUGGCCAUACUGAAGCAACACCAAGCUUCUUUCUGUGUACACUUAAUACCUGCAGUCAGACACAGCACUGGGCAUCACAUCUGCCAAAAUGCAGGCCUAAUGCUGCAUGACCACACCUCUUACUAUAACUACACGCUUCAUUUUUCUGAAUGUUAAAAAGUUUCAUAAUAUUCUCUAGGGUCUGUUUUCACUUAAAAAGAAUUACCAAACUCAGAAUAUGCCCUGCUUAAACAAGCUCCACACUGUGAAGCUUUGAUCAAAUAACUAACAUUAUCUAAGGGAUUACUAAAGCUGGCACUUAAGGAUCACAAAGCACUUCUCAAAUACUCAGCAUUUAUUUGAAGAAGAUGACUUUCUAGAAAUAUGCUUUCUGUGCCUUUCCCACAGUGGAGGGAAAGUUCAAUUUAUCUUUUCUAAAGAGAUGAUACUGUACUAAAUAAAUAAGAUUAUUUGUUGCAUGUUUAAGGUGAUGAGCUUUCUAAUCCUUUAUUUUUAUACUUAGAGUGAUAGUUACUCUCUUGUAACUUUUACAUUUGGAAGUCUUUCCUAAUAUUUAUUCUUUUCAGGCCAACUGAGUAGAAAAGAGUGAGCCAGUGAUUAGGAUGCCUGCCUGAGACACACUUUGCAAUAGAUUCACUAUGGGUUUGGUUUUAAGCAAAUCUCUGAACCUUUCUAUUUUCCUUCAACGCAUGUUGAUGAUAAUAUGCCUCAUUGACAGCAGAGUAACAAAAUUCUUUGGCUCAGUAUGGCAGCUGUAGUCAUGUAAGACUGUGAAAUAGAACAUUAUGAAAUAUGUCAACUGUUCCACUCCGGAGCAUGGAGUUAUCCAGAAACCCUUCCCCCUUCUCCAAGGCAUUACACAGCCCUGCCUACAGCUUUUAGCUAGGAUUGUCAUUCUGUUACAUGUCCAGGCUUUUCCUUUCUAAUGUGGACUGGUUUGAUUCCCACAAAUGAGCCUGCAAGCAAAUGAUUGCACUGUUUUCAUUUCACACAGCAUGCUUUGUCCAAAAGGCUGGAUUCUGCAUGAGGUGAGUGUGGAAAUGGGCAAAGGGAACUCCUCUAGUCCUGUGCAGGUUUGCUGGUGGGUAGGAUAGUAAACUCCUGGAGGAAAUGUGGCAGUAAAAACCAUGCAGGCCUGAGCUUGAUUAUGGUCUAUUUCUUUCAGCAUCCCAAUCUUCUUCUAAUCCAAAGAGAAUGGGUUCAGUUAUCUACUAUUCUGCACCUCUCCCCUUCCCCUUCCCCCCUAUCCCCCUUGGCCUCCAUUUUGAAUAAAGAGUUUUAAGGCACUUGGAAGAAAUCUGGAGUUUGAGUAAAGGCAACAGAAAAUUAAGUUCCAAAAACAUUAGAAAACAGUACAGAAGUGCACUCUAGGACAUUCCCUAACCAGGCCUUCUAGUUAGUUGGAUUUUUAUUUAAGAAGAACACAGUCCUUCUCAGCCUUCUGAGAUUUACAGUUCUUUUAAUCAUUUACAUAUAUUCUUGGAUCAUCUUUAUGCUUGCAUUAUCUAGCCAUAUGCAUUGUCUCUACACUAAAUAUCCUGGCCUGUGUAUCCUCAUGAUAAUCCUGCAGAUAAUGCAGAGCCCCAGGCAUUCCUCAUAUGAGUUAACUAUUCCACCAUCACAGUGAGGAGCUGAGCUGCUACCUGUGGCAGCACUAACUGCUUAAUUAAUUUACUAGAUCCUGCUAUUAAAAUUUGGAGUGUUGAGCAAGUGGAGCAAUUUCCUUCAUAGAGAAAGGUCAAACUGGGAAAACAUCAUCUACAGAGAUGUGCAAGGGUUAUUGUUACAAAUACAGCUUAAGGAUGUGGGGCUUCUAAUCGCAUCUACCAGAAUAACUCCAUUGUCUUUGGGAGGAGUUGGGUUUAUAAGACAGUCUUUCUAUUAAGAGGCAAGCAGUCCUAGAAAGAAAACAAGCCAUGAAGGGGAAGAUGGAAGUAAAAUAGAAAGCAGGUAUAUCUGCAGCCUCAGAGGGGGAAAUGGAGACACUCCUACCUUGCCCCAACACAGUAUUGAUCUCUGGGGAAAUCUUUUCUGAAAUGUUAUAUCUUCUGAGUAUAAAAAUGGAGUCAUUCUUUGCCAGUUUUCUUUCCAUAGUGCAUUGACUUUUGAUGUUUCUUUUGUAGUCUCAGGUCCAGAAGUCAAGUUAUGAUGUGAGAAGUUCAGAUCUCAUUUGAAAUAGCAGAAAGGGGUUUAUAGUCUCAUAGCUGAAGAGUGAAAUGUGGGGGCAGGGAGAAGAACCUCUAAGGUUCAAAAGCAGUGGGUUAGAAAGGUCAAAUGCCAAAUGCAAACCCAACUCCUUAGUGUUUUACAUCUGUGGGAGAAAAACACUGGUGACAUAAAAGUGCAGUAAUGCCAAUUACAGUCAAGAGUUCUCAAACACUUUUGUCAUGACAAAGGUAUUAGCACAACUGCCCUAGCAAAUUUUUCAGCUUUCUUCCUCCCAACUCUCAGCAUUUAAAUGAUUUCCUUUAGAAGCAGGUUUUGUCUUACUUCUGCCUAUAGAGUGUGGAAGCUGACUUGGCAGCACACGGUAUCCACCAUGCUCUUGCUUUUGGCUAUAGGUGAAGACACCUUUUUGCAGACAGAACCAAAUUCUCCAUUCACUUACUCCUGCACUGCAGUCUCACUGGUGGAAGAGCAGAUGCUAGCACAGGACUGUGAAAUACUUUGCAGCUCUCCAACACAAAAUAUACUGUUCAAACAGAAGGUAUUACUAAUCCAUGAAGUAGAGGAGACUAUCUGAUAAUUUGGAAGAAAACCUAAAACUUUUAAACAAGACCAAACUAGUCACCUGAGAGAGAGUGGAGGGGACAAAAAUGUAUUUCAAAGAGUAGGAAGGCAGCAAUCUUGUUGGCACACACUGGUAAAUACACGCAUUUCUCUCAUUUUCCAUCUGAAAAUUGAAGUUAUUAUGAGGCUCAUACUUUGUCAUACUUCACUGAAACACCUGGAGUCAGGCUCUCUGCAUCUGGCCUUUCUAAGAGAUCCUCAGUACCUUACAACUUGUACAUCCAAGUAUCCCAGUAAAAUUUUUUCUGUACUUAUUGGUAUAGUCUCACUGUGAUAUAAAUGGCAUGUUCACACACAUCUGACUAACAACUGAUAAACAGUGUUGAACAGACUGAGACUUUAUGAAUAAAGAUGAUUUGUUAUGUAUCAGUCAACUUUAUCUCCUUCCUCUGCUUGUGUUCAGUCAUCCUUCAGGAGAAGCGGCAGUGUGGUGCCCCAGGGCUGAGCAGGGACUUCACUGAAGCCUCCUCACAAGGUUCUCCAUCUGCCUCUUGUUUCAGCAAUACCUCAACACCCCAAAUGGGAUCCAGAUCAGCUUGCACCUCAUACAAAUGAAAGGCUUGAAUAGUAUGGAGUAAAAGCAUUUCAAAAACUGAGUGUACCCUUUGAAUCAAAAUAUAAAUAAAUGUUGGAAUGGUAGAA
Molecule: RNA transcript, 7122 nt
Organism: Gallus gallus (chicken)
Lineage: Eukaryota; Metazoa; Chordata; Aves; Galliformes; Phasianidae
Exons: 2
Source: RefSeq, a predicted model, not a curated record